This 717-nucleotide unclassified non-coding RNA is filed under the name Hevea brasiliensis (rubber tree). The record is from RNAcentral. Lineage: Eukaryota; Viridiplantae; Streptophyta; Magnoliopsida; Malpighiales; Euphorbiaceae.
CAACCAACCUAAAUUUCACCAGCAUCUCUUAGGUUUCAAAAUGUCAAAUUGCAAUACGCUAGUGCAGAAAACAACAUAUCAAAACAAUGUGAACGGCAUAAAAACUUUUCAAGUAAUAAAGCUGAUGAGAAGUAAUAAGCCGGAAUAUGCAAAUUGCAUAGUGACAAUAUCUGUUGAAGGAACUAUAAGAGACUCACUCAAUGCAAAAGCUCUAACCAUCAUCAUCCAUUUCCUCAAGUAUAACAUAUUUUGCAGCAACAUUUGCCAUAGGCGAACCAGCCACGUCAUCUUCACUCAUUUGACGCUUUUGUAGCUUUUCAUAUUUGUACCAAUUGAAUAAACUCACGCCCACCAUUAUGAUUAAAAGGCCAACACCUUUCAACCAUGUAAAUUUGUCAUGGAAGUAAAAGACUGCAACCAAUAUGGUGACAGCCUCCUUGACAACACCUGCAAUAGUCACUGUGACAGCACUAGUUACUGAAACAAGAACAUAUUCCGUUAAAACCAUGAAAAAGGCCAGUGUUCCACCAAAAAACAUCAAGAAGCAGCUCCGCGCAAUGUGCCAAGAAUUAUCAAAGUAACUGCUCUUUCUAAAUUCAUACCAUGGAUCAAACAUAAGAGAAAAAAGAGCAGUUACAAUUGCCAUCACUGGAGUCACAAAACUCAUCAAUGUAAGUGGAUUUUUCAAACCAUAUUCUUCUUUCUGCAGAAGAAUUU